GACGAACGCUGGCGGCGUGCUUAACACAUGCAAGUCGAACGGAAAGGCCCUGCUUUUGUGGGGUGCUCGAGUGGCGAACGGGUGAGUAACACGUGAGUAACCUGCCCUUGACUUUGGGAUAACUUCAGGAAACUCGGGCUAAUAUCGGAUAGGAGCUCCUGCUGCAUGGUGGGGGUUGGAAAGUUUCGGCGGUUGGGGAUGGACUCGCGGCUUAUCAGCUUGUUGGUGGGGUAGUUGCUUACCAAGGCUUUGACGGGUAGCCGGCCUGAGAGGGUGACCGGCCACAUUGGGACUGAGAUACGGCCCAGACUCCUACGGGAGGCAGCAGUGGGGAAUAUUGCACAAUGGGCGGAAGCCUGAUGCAGCAACGCCGCGUGCGGGAUGACGGGCUUCGGGUUGUAAACCGCUUUCGCCUGUGACGAAGCGUGAGUGACGGUAAUGGGUAAAGAAGCACCGGCUAACUACGUG
RNAcentral lists this ribosomal RNA (468 nucleotides) under uncultured bacterium. RNAcentral describes it as "partial 16S ribosomal RNA". It matches the Rfam family "Bacterial small subunit ribosomal RNA", at positions 28 to 507 of the family's 1533-position model. The record is from RNAcentral.